RNAcentral lists this unclassified non-coding RNA (263 nucleotides) under Funneliformis mosseae. RNAcentral describes it as "partial contains 5.8S ribosomal RNA and internal transcribed spacer 2". The stretch from base 1 to 71 matches the Rfam family "5.8S ribosomal RNA", at positions 84 to 154 of the family's 154-position model. The record is from RNAcentral. Lineage: Eukaryota; Fungi; Glomeromycota; Glomeromycetes; Glomerales; Glomeraceae.
GUGAAUCAUCAAAUCUUUGAACGCAAAUUGCACUCCCUGGUAUUCCGGGGAGUAUGCCUGUUUGAGGGUCGGUAGAAGAAAAAUCGGAGCAUCGCUCUUUUUUUGAGGGUGAUCGCGUCGGAAUUGAGCCGUCUUUCAUAUGUUAAUUCAUGUCAAAGUGUCUUAAAAUUCAUCCAUCCGUUACGAUUAAAGCGUAUUUACGAUCAAUUUUGAUUAUGAACGCGCGAUGACGUACCAUCUCAUGUAGUUCGUUUGACCUAUGU